RNAcentral lists this non-coding RNA (31 nucleotides) under Mus musculus (house mouse). Lineage: Eukaryota; Metazoa; Chordata; Mammalia; Rodentia; Muridae. The record is from RNAcentral.
UGUUUAGCUUGUCUCCUCUGCCAAAGAGACC